Molecule: ribosomal RNA, 301 nt
Filed under: uncultured bacterium
Lineage: Bacteria
Description: partial 16S ribosomal RNA
Rfam family: Bacterial small subunit ribosomal RNA
Source: RNAcentral
CAGCAGCCGCGGGAAUACAGAGGGUGCAAGCGUUAAUCGGAAUUACUGGGCGUAAAGCGCGCGUAGGUGGUUCGCCAAGUUGGAUGUGAAAUCCCCGGGCUCAACCUGGGAACUGCAUCCAAAACUGGCGAGCUAGAGUAUGGUAGAGGGUGGUGGAAUUUCCUGUGUAGCGGUGAAAUGCGUAGAUAUAGGAAGGAACAUCAGUGGCGAAGGCGACCACCUGGACUGAUACUGACACUGAGGUGCGAAAGCGUGGGGAGCAAACAGGAUUAGAGACCCCUGUAGUCCCUGUCUCUUAUAC